UUUCGAAAAACUAAAGGCUUAUGGUGAAUACCUAGGCACCCAAAGACGAUGAAGGGCGUACUUACCGACGAUACGCUUCGGGGAGCUGGAAUGACGCUUUGAUCCGAAGAUUCCCGAAUAGGGCAACCUAUAUAACUUCUUUUUGAAUUCAUAGAAAAGAUAGAGACAACCGAGUGAAUUGAAACAUCUUAGUAGCUCGAGGAAGAGAAAGCAAAAGCGAUUCCCGGAGUAGCGGCGAGCGAAAUGGGAACAGCCUAAAGGAACAUUUUUUAAAUGUUCCGGUUGUGGGACAUGAACAAAUUUUAAUAAAAAAAGACAAACUGAAACAGCUGAGUCCUGUACCAAAGAAGGUGAGAGUCCUGUAAGUAACUAUUUUUUUAUUUCUCAUGAAUCCCGAGUAGCAUGGGGCACGUGAAAUCCCGUGUGAAUCUGCGAGGACCACCUCGUAAGGCUAAAUACUCUUGGGUGACCGAUAGCGAAACAGUACCGUGAGGGAAAGGUGAAAAGAACCUCAUCAGGGGAGUGAAAUAGACCAUGAAACCGUAAGCUUACAAGCAAUGGGAGAGUCUUGAGACUUGACCGU
RNAcentral lists this ribosomal RNA (583 nucleotides) under Monomastix sp. M0722. RNAcentral's name for it is "bacterial LSU rRNA". It matches the Rfam family "Bacterial large subunit ribosomal RNA", at positions 1 to 600 of the family's 2925-position model. Lineage: Eukaryota; Viridiplantae; Chlorophyta; Mamiellophyceae; Monomastigales; Monomastigaceae. The record is from RNAcentral.